UGCUGGAGGUAUCAGAAGUGCGAAUGCUGACAUAAGUAACGAUAAAGCGGGUGAAAAGCCCGCUCGCCGGAAGACCAAGGGUUCCUGUCCAACGUUAAUCGGGGCAGGGUGAGUCGACCCCUAAGGCGAGGCCGAAAGGCGUAGUCGAUGGGAAACGGGUUAAUAUUCCCGUACUUGGUGUUACUGCGAAGGGGGGACGGAGAAGGCUAUGUUGGCCGGGCGACGGUUGUCCCGGUUUAAGCGUGUAGGUGUGUGUUCCAGGUAAAUCCGGUUCACUUUAACACUGAGGCGUGAUGACGAGGCACUACGGUGCUGAAGCAACAAAUGCCCUGCUUCCAGGAAAAGCCUCUAAGCAUCAGGUAACAUCAAAUCGUACCCCAAACCGACACAGGUGGUCAGGUAGAGAAUACCAAGGCGCUUGAGAGAACUCGGGUGAAGGAACUAGGCAAAAUGGUGCCGUAACUUCGGGAGAAGGCACGCUGACAUGUAGGUGAAGUGAUUUACUCAUGGAGCUGAAGUCAGUCGAAGAUACCAGCUGGCUGCAACUGUUUAUUAAAAACACAGCACUGUGCAAACACGAAAGUGGACGUAUACGGUGUGACGCCUGCCCGGUGCCGGAAGGUUAAUUGAUGGGGUCAGCGCAAGCGAAGCUCCUGAUCGAAGCCCCGGUAAACGGCGGCCGUAACUAUAACGGUCCUAAGGUAGCGAAAUUCCUUGUCGGGUAAGUUCCGACCUGCACGAAUGGCGUAAUGAUGGCCAGGCUGUCUCCACCCGAGACUCAGUGAAAUUGAACUCGCUGUGAAGAUGCAGUGUACCCGCGGCAAGACGGAAAGACCCCGUGAACCUUUACUAUAGCUUGACACUGAACAUUGAGCCUUGAUGUGUAGGAUAGGUGGGAGGCUUUGAAGCGUGGACGCCAGUCUGCGUGGAGCCGACCUUGAAAUACCACCCUUUAAUGUUUGAUGUUCUAACGUGGACCCGUAAUCCGGGUUGCGGACAGUGUCUGGUGGGUAGUUUGACUGGGGCGGUCUCCUCCUAAAGAGUAACGGAGGAGCACGAAGGUUGGCUAAUCCUGGUCGGACAUCAGGAGGUUAGUGCAAUGGCAUAAGC
RNAcentral lists this ribosomal RNA (1110 nucleotides) under Salmonella enterica subsp. enterica serovar Infantis. RNAcentral's name for it is "partial 23S ribosomal RNA". It matches the Rfam family "Bacterial large subunit ribosomal RNA", at positions 1271 to 2364 of the family's 2925-position model. Lineage: Bacteria; Pseudomonadati; Pseudomonadota; Gammaproteobacteria; Enterobacterales; Enterobacteriaceae. The record is from RNAcentral.